AAGUGCAUUGCCGGGCAAAUCUCCCUUGGCAAUGUGCCUUACUGUUCUGCAUAAAUGAGCUUAAUUAGCCCAAAUUAUUCGAAUUAGUCAGUGAGUAACUGCCCGAGGAGUGAUUGCCCAGUUAUGCAUUU
RNAcentral lists this microRNA precursor (131 nucleotides) under Olea europaea subsp. europaea. Lineage: Eukaryota; Viridiplantae; Streptophyta; Magnoliopsida; Lamiales; Oleaceae. The record is from RNAcentral.